RNAcentral lists this microRNA precursor (89 nucleotides) under Sorghum bicolor (sorghum). RNAcentral's name for it is "MIR5565 microRNA precursor family". It matches the Rfam family "MIR5565 microRNA precursor family". Lineage: Eukaryota; Viridiplantae; Streptophyta; Magnoliopsida; Poales; Poaceae. The record is from Rfam by way of RNAcentral.
GUAGUCGGAUUCGCAUCAAUUCACAUAUGUUGGUGUGGGUUGAAGUGUCCAAUCCACUCCAACACAUGUGGAUUGAGGUGAAUCCGACA